RNAcentral lists this transfer RNA (107 nucleotides) under Coniochaeta sp. 2T2.1. It matches the Rfam family "tRNA". From Rfam's summary of the family: Transfer RNA (tRNA) molecules are approximately 80 nucleotides in length. Their secondary structure includes four short double-helical elements and three loops (D, anti-codon, and T loops). Lineage: Eukaryota; Fungi; Ascomycota; Sordariomycetes; Coniochaetales; Coniochaetaceae. The record is from Rfam by way of RNAcentral.
GGUCCCAUAGCUCAGUUGGUUAGAGCGUCGUACUAAUACUCCUCGUCUUCCGGGAUGAUCAGUAUCAAGUAAUGCGAAGGUCUUGGGUUCAACCCCCAAUGGGACCA